UACAGAGGUCCCGAGCGUUGUUCGGAUUCAUUGGGCGUAAAGGGUGCGUAGGCGGCGGGGCAAGUCUGAUGUGAAAUCCCGGGGCUCAACCCCGGAACUGCAUUGGAUACUGCCUUGCUGGAGUACUGGAGAGGGAACUGGAAUUUACGGUGUAGCAGUGAAAUGCGUAGAGAUCGUAAGGAAGGCCAGUGGCGAAGGCGAGUUCCUGGACAGUUACUGACGCUGAGGCACGAAGGCCAGGGGAGCAAACGGG
Molecule: ribosomal RNA, 253 nt
Filed under: uncultured bacterium
Lineage: Bacteria
Description: partial 16S ribosomal RNA
Rfam family: Bacterial small subunit ribosomal RNA
Source: RNAcentral